RNAcentral lists this ribosomal RNA (1944 nucleotides) under Cystodiscus axonis. RNAcentral's name for it is "SSU rRNA". It matches the Rfam family "Eukaryotic small subunit ribosomal RNA". Lineage: Eukaryota; Metazoa; Cnidaria; Myxozoa; Bivalvulida; Myxidiidae. The record is from RNAcentral.
AGGCAUAUGCUCGUCUCUAAGAUUAAGCCAUGCAUGUCUGAGUUCAUACCUAGUUAAAGUGAGACUGCGAAAGGCUCAGUACAUCAGUUAUAGUUUAUUCGAUUGUGAAAUCCACAUGGAUAACCGUGGAAAAUCUAGAGCUAAUACAUGCGAAAAAGACUACAGUCAUUUCGGUGGCUGUAGUUGUGCAUUUAUUAGAUUAGAACCAAUCAGUGUUACCUCGGUGACACUGCAGUGGUGAGUCUGGAUAACUGUGCCGAUCGUAUGGCCUUGAGCCGGCGACGUUUCGAUUAAAUUUCUGCCCUAUCAACUUGUUGGUAAGGUAGUGGCCUACCAAGGUUAUAACGGGUAACGGGGAAUCAGGGUUCGAUUCCGGAGAGGGAGCCUGAGAAACGGCUACCACAUCCAAGGAAGGCAGCAGGCGCGCAAAUUACCCAAUCCAGACACUGGGAGGUGGUGACGAGAAAUACCGGGUCGUGCCCAAAAGGUUUCGACACUGGAAUGAGUGCAAUUUAAAAAUUUCAACGAGUAACAACUGGAGGGCAAGUCUGGUGCCAGCAGCCGCGGUAAUUCCAGCUCCAGUAGUGUAUCUUAAAGUUGCUGCGGUUAAAACGCUCGUAGUUGGACAAGAGAGUGAUCAAGUGCGGGCGGGGAGUAAGCCUACUCUGUACUGGCUAGGAUGGCUGGGUUGCAUCUACGGAUGUUAGCUUGGCUGUCUGACUGCUGGGCAGAAGUACUACUUGUCGACCAUGCUGCUUGGUUACUUGUUUGUUCGUGAGAAUAUCAUAUGGCCUUAACUGUGCUGUGUGAUGUAUCUUACGUAGUGUGCCUUGAAUAAAUCAGAGUGCUCAAAGCAAGCUUACGCUUGAAUGUUAAUAGCAUGGAACGAAUGUUUUGUGAAAGCACAAGUAGUGAAGUAUUCGUACUAUCGCUACUUGUGCAGCACCAACUCCGAAUCGGAACAUUGGUAGCCGAAUUCGGGUGAUGAUUAAGAGGGGCAUUUGGGGGCAUUAGUAUUUGGACGCGAGAGGUGAAAUUCUUGGACCGUCCAAGGACUAACAAGUGCGAAAGCAUUUGCCAAGUAUGUUCCCUUUAAUCAAGAACGAAAGUGAGAGGUUCGAAGACGAUCAGAUACCGUCCUAGUUCUCACCGUAAACGAUGCCAACCCGGGAUCAGCUCGGAUGGUAAAUUGUGGAUCCAGGUUGGUCCCCCUGGGAAACCUUGAGUUUUUGGGUUCCGGGGGGAGUAUGGUUGCAAGGCUGAAACUUAAAGGAAUUGACGGAGGGGCACCACCAGGAGUGGAGCCUGCGGCUUAAUUUGACUCAACACGGGAAAACUCACCUGGUCCGGACAUCGAUAGGAUUGACAGACUAAUAGAUCUUUCAUGAUACGGUGGGUGGUGGUGCAUGGCCGUUCUUAGUUCGUGGAGUGAUCUGUCAGGUUUAUUCCGGUAACGAACGAGACCACGAUCUUCAUUUGGGGGUACCCAAGGGGUACCUGUGUGGUGCUCUCACGGGCAUUACAUAGGAUUGCCUCCCUUGGGUUUGGCAUAGAAAUGUGUCUCCCUAUGGAGAGACAGCCGGACUCUAAGCCGGAGGAAGCGUGGCAAUAACAGGUCUGUGAUGCCCUUCGAUGUUCAGGGCCGCACGCGCGCUACAAUGAUAACGACAGCGAGAAUCUGGGCCGAAAGGUCCUGGGAAAUCUUGUAAAUCGUUAUCGUGAUGGGGAUUGAGCAUUGUAAUUAUUGCUCAUGAAAUAGGAAUUCCUUGUAACGGUAACUCACUAGGUUGCCGUGAAUACGUCUCUGCCCCUUGUACACACCGCCCGUCGCUACUACCGAGUGAAUGGUGUCAUGAUGUCUUGGGACUGGACGUUGUUGGCGAUGCAAAUCGCGGACGAUGCUAGGAGCAAGCCAAAAUGGCGCAAUUUCGAGGAAGUAAAAGU